AGAAAACAAAGAGAGAAACAAAGAGAAAGUGUGUGAGAGAGCAAAGGAAAGCCGAUGCCCAAAUCCAGCAAAUGGUACUAGCCCUACCCCAGGGAGAAAAAGAAAGCAAGCAAUCUGAAAAGCAGGUCGAACUGCUGUAGACUCAGAACUGGUGCCCAGCAUAAUUGCUAGUGCUCACUAAGCCGGUGCUCACUAAGUUGCUGAUGAAGUGAAAUUUGAGAGGCAGGAAUGUGACAAACACCUUUACAAAACGCACAAGGACAGCCCAGCCAGCUGAUGGCUCGUGUGGCUCAGCGGUUGAACAUCGGCCUAUGAUCCAGGGUCUGCCCUCUCUCCUGCCCUGCUUUUACCCCCAGCCUGGAGUCCGCCUGGAUGGAAAUGCAGCAGAUGAUGGGCUCAGAGUUAAUCAUCUGCAGGUUUUCCCCGAUAAGUCACAGUAUGUUUGCCGCGCCGCUUCCAAGAGCCCACAGCAGCUACGGGGAUGUGCCGAGAGCGGCCUGUGGCAUUCAGCUUGCGGCCGGAUGGGAGCAGUGCGCUGGGGCGCCUCUCUGAGCACCACCAUCUGGAAUGCUCUGCUGCCCUGAAGGCGCUGGUCUGCGUCUCCAGUGGACUCAGCCUAAAUGCCAAAACCCGGGCCAAGCUCGCUGGAUGUACAAACGGCCUGACGUCAGUGGAAUUUGCUCAUAAUUUAGGCCUCAUGUGUGAUGUACUGUCUGAACUGAAAGAUCUGUCAAAACAAUCAGGGAGGAAGAGGAAAGGAAGAGCGGAGGAAGGACAGAAGCCAGAGAUGGAAGGAAAAGCAGACAAGCAGGGGGAAGAGGAAAUGAGGGCAUGGCCGGGAGCUGCGGCAGAACAGGUUCAGCUUUUGACUCCUCAGGCCAACGGUCCCUGUAAAUUUGUUGAAAGCAUCAGUGCCAAAUAAAACAUGGCCUUUUAAAGCACUGAAUUACGUGAGUGCAGAGCUGUUAAAAUCAGUGUAGCAAAAAUCCAGCUGGGUUUGGCCAGUGCCACAAAGCACAAAAUGAUGAUCACUUGUUCUGCCAAGACUCAAGGUUCCCCAGACGCGGCGGCCUGAGCAGAGUUAUUUGGAUAUAUGUCCGGAUCACCAUUCUUUAAAACAAAACAAAAAAUUGCUAUUAAGAAAUAGACAGCUGUUGUUUUUGCUUGCCCUGUGUCCAGAGGUGGGUUUAUUGUGACGCUAGCAAAGUUUUAAGCUUCAGAGGCCUUCACUUGCCUGGAUCCCUGUAGCUGCCGGGAGAUUCCAGGAGUUAUGGAGUGUCCUAGAUGGAGAGAGGAAGCCACGUUACAAUCAAGAAGCGUUUAAACAUAAGCAUCUGUGGUAAAUUGCCUGAAGCAGACUUUGGAAGAAAAGAACUGAAUCACUAAGAUUCCAAUAACUUGUUGCGAUUUACAGUUUUAUUCUUAAUAAAAUUCACUUAAUACUUGUUUUUAAAUUUGUAAUUUUGUAUUAUUUUUAUCAAGCAGAGGCCCAAAAUGAUAGCGCUUCAAGUUCCCCA
Non-coding RNA from Miniopterus natalensis, 1517 nucleotides. The record is from RefSeq and is a predicted model, not a curated record. NCBI's taxonomy places the organism in Eukaryota, Metazoa, Chordata, Mammalia, Chiroptera, Miniopteridae.